RNAcentral lists this ribosomal RNA (410 nucleotides) under Apocephalus attophilus. Its description in RNAcentral is "partial 16S ribosomal RNA". It matches the Rfam family "Bacterial large subunit ribosomal RNA", at positions 1802 to 2532 of the family's 2925-position model. The record is from RNAcentral. Lineage: Eukaryota; Metazoa; Arthropoda; Insecta; Diptera; Phoridae.
GUUUAUCAAAAACAUGUCUUUUUGAAUUUAAUUUAAAGUCUAACCUGCCCACUGAAANNNUUUUAAUGGCCGCAGUAUUUUAACUGUGCAAAGGUAGCAUAAUCAUUAGUCUUUUAAUUGAAGGCUGGAAUGAAUGGUUGAACGAAAUAUUUACUGUUUCAUAAAAUUUUUUAUUGAAUUUUAUUUUUUAGUUAAAAAGCUAAAAUAAUUUUAAAAGACGAGAAGACCCUAUAAAUCUUUAUAUUUUAUUGGGGUGAUAUUAAAAUUUAAUAAACUUUUAAUUUNUAUUUUACAUAAAUUAAUGAUUAUUUGAUCCGUUAUUUACGAUUAAUAGAUUAAGUUACUUUAGGGAUAACAGCGUAAUUUUUUUAGAGAGUUCAUAUUGAUAAAAAAGAUUGCGACCUCGAUGU